GUGAACGCUGGCGGUCGCCCUCACACCUGCAAGUCGAACGGCAGCACAGUAAGAGCUUGCUCUUACGGGUGGCGAGUGGCGGACGGGUGAUGAAUACAUCGGAAUCUACUUUUUCGUGGGGGAUAACGUAGGGAAACUUACGCUAAUACCGCAUACGACCUACGGGUGAAAGCAGGGGAUCUUCGGACCUUGCGCGAUUGAAUGAGCCGAUGUCGGAUUAGCUAGUUGGCGGGGUAAAGGCCCACCACGGCUACGAUCCGUAGCUGGUCUGAGAGGAUGAUCAGCCACACUGGAUCUGAGACACGGUCCAGACUCCUACGGGAGGCAGCAGUGGGGAAUAUUGGACGAUGGGCGCAAGCCUGAUCUAGCCAUACCGCGUGGGUGAAGAAGGCCUUCGGGUUGUAAAGCCAUUUUGUUGGGAAAGAAAAGCAGCAGGUUAAUACCCCGCUGUUCUGACGGUACCCAAAGAAUAAGCACCGGCUAACUUCGUG
Molecule: ribosomal RNA, 491 nt
Filed under: uncultured bacterium
Lineage: Bacteria
Description: partial 16S ribosomal RNA
Rfam family: Bacterial small subunit ribosomal RNA
Source: RNAcentral